RNAcentral lists this ribosomal RNA (467 nucleotides) under uncultured bacterium. Its description in RNAcentral is "partial 16S ribosomal RNA". It matches the Rfam family "Bacterial small subunit ribosomal RNA", at positions 29 to 507 of the family's 1533-position model. The record is from RNAcentral.
ACGAACGCUGGCGGCGUGCUUCACCCAUGCAAGUCGCACGGAAAGGCCCUGCUUUUGUGGGGUGCUCGAGUGGCGAACGGGUGAGUAACACGUGAGUAACCUGCCCUUGACUUUGGGAUAACUUCAGGAAACUGGGGCUAAUACCGGAUAGGAGCUCCUGCUGCAUGGUGGGGGUUGGAAAGUUUCGGCGGUUGGGGAUGGACUCGCGGCUUAUCAGCUUGUUGGUGGGGUAGUGGCUUACCAAGGCUUUGACGGGUAGCCGGCCUGAGAGGGUGACCGGCCACAUUGGGACUGAGAUACGGCCCAGACUCCUACGGGAGGCAGCAGUGGGGAAUAUUGCACAAUGGGCGGAAGCCUGAUGCAGCAACGCCGCGUGCGGGAUGACGGCCUUCGGGUUGUAAACCGCUUUCGCCUGUGACGAAGCGUGAGUGGCGGUAAUGGGUAAAGAAGCACCGGCUAACUACGUG